This 227-nucleotide unclassified non-coding RNA is filed under the name uncultured fungus. RNAcentral's name for it is "sequence contains ITS1, 5.8S rRNA gene". The stretch from base 180 to 227 matches the Rfam family "5.8S ribosomal RNA", at positions 1 to 48 of the family's 154-position model. Lineage: Eukaryota; Fungi. The record is from RNAcentral.
UCUCCGUAGGUGAACCUGCGGAGGGAUCAUUACUGAGUGAGGGCCUUCGGGCUCGACCUCCAACCCUUUGUGAACACAUCUUGUUGCUUCGGGGGCGACCCUGCCGUUUCGACGGCGAGCGCCCCCGAAGGUCUCCAAACACUGCAUCUUUGCGUCGGAGUUUAAAACAAAUUAAACAAAACUUUCAACAACGGAUCUCUUGGUUCUGGUAUCGAUGAAGAACGCGC